UAGAGGUAUGAGGAUUGCCUCGCUAACCCGAAGGUGAGGCUGCCAACCGAGCACGUGCCACGGUGGCCGAAUCUUAAUGAGAUUCCAUAUGUUGGAUUAACCAAAAAAAGGAGCCCUAUGC
This 121-nucleotide non-coding RNA is filed under the name unclassified sequences. The record is from Rfam.